AGAAAUAAUAAUCAUAUUGCGAUAAUUGUGGGGAAAUUGUUAUGUAUGCUAGAUUUCGUUUUUUCUUUCUUUCUUUCUUUUUUUCUCCGAUGUAGCAAGCAAAUCGUUUUCAUGAGUUUGUAAAGAUUGAUGAGAACAUAUAUAUGAGGAGAAAAAGGGAGACAUGUAAUGCCUAACCGACAUGACAAAUUAGAAGGGGACAUACAUCAACUUUGAAAUGUGGUCAAAGUUUAAAUGCUUACUAUGAAAA
Molecule: long non-coding RNA, 250 nt
Filed under: Capsella rubella
Lineage: Eukaryota; Viridiplantae; Streptophyta; Magnoliopsida; Brassicales; Brassicaceae
Description: long non-coding RNA (CRUB_LNC001470)
Source: RNAcentral